Long non-coding RNA from Protopterus annectens (West African lungfish), 645 nucleotides. RefSeq lists it as uncharacterized. Lineage: Eukaryota; Metazoa; Chordata; Ceratodontiformes; Protopteridae. The transcript is spliced from 3 exons. The record is from RefSeq and is a predicted model, not a curated record.
CCUCGCCUGGGUGAAUACAUAUUCUCAACUCAAGUUACCUACUCUACCCACACUCUUGUGUAGGGAACAUACUGCUCUGCUACCUCAAGCCCCAUUUCUGAGAUUGGAACUGAGUCUCCCAGUGGAAACUGAGAAACUUUUCCCCUGUAUUGUUCCCUUGGGACCUCGCCUGGGUGAAUACAUAUUCUCAACUCAAGUUACCUACUCUACCCACACUCUUGUGUAGGGAACAUACUGCUCUGCUACCUCAAGCCCCAUUUCUGAGAUUGGAACUGAGUCUCCCAGUGGAAACUGAGAAACUUUUCCCCUGUAUUGUUCCCUUGGGACCUCGCCUGGGUGAAUACAUAUUCUCAACUCAAGUUACCUACUCUACCCACACUCUUGUGUAGGGAACAUACUGCUCUGCUACCUCAAGCCCCAUUUCUGAGAUUGGAACUGAGUCUCCCAGUGGAAACUGAGAAACUUUUCCCCUGUAUUGUUCCCUUGGGACCUCGCCUGGGUGAAUACAUAUUCUCAACUCAAGUUACCUACUCUACCCACACUCUUGUGUAGGGAACAUACUGCUCUGCUACCUCAAGCCCCAUUUCUGAGAUUGGAACUGAGUCUCCCAGUGGAAACUGAGAAAGUAUGUGCAUUUGCUGCUAC